CCAAUAGCGUAUAUUAAAGUUGUUGCAGUUAAAAAGCUCGUAGUUGAAUUUCGGGACCAAUAUGUCGGUCGUGCUUCGGUACGUACCUGCAUUAUUGGUUUCUCCCUUCUGAAGAACCAUGAUGUCAUCAAUUUGGUGUCUUGGGGAAUCAGGACUGUUACUUUGAAAAAAUUAGAGGGGUUAAAGCAGGCCCACGCUUGAAUACAUUAGCAUGGAAUAAUGAAAUAGGACGUUUGAUUCUAUUUUGUUGGUUUCUAGGAUCGACGUAAUGAUUAAUAGGGAUAGUUGGGGGCAUUAGUAUUCAAUUGUCAGAGGUGAAAUUCUUGGAUUUAUUGAAGACUAACUACUGCGAAAGCAUUUGCCAAGGAUGUUUUCAUUAAUCAAGAACGAAAGUUAGGGGAUCGAAGACGAUCAGAUACCGUCGUAGUCUUAACCAUAAACUAUGCCGACUAGGGAUCGGAUGAUGUUAAUUUUUUAAUGACUCAUUCGGCGCCUUACG
Molecule: ribosomal RNA, 499 nt
Filed under: uncultured Glomeromycotina
Lineage: Eukaryota; Fungi; Glomeromycota
Description: partial small subunit ribosomal RNA
Rfam family: Eukaryotic small subunit ribosomal RNA
Source: RNAcentral